RNAcentral lists this ribosomal RNA (253 nucleotides) under uncultured bacterium. RNAcentral's name for it is "partial 16S ribosomal RNA". It matches the Rfam family "Bacterial small subunit ribosomal RNA", at positions 524 to 776 of the family's 1533-position model. RNAcentral also lists the same sequence under 1 other name. The record is from RNAcentral.
UACGUAGGGUCCGAGCGUUGUCCGGAAUUAUUGGGCGUAAAGGGCUCGUAGGCGGUUUGUCGCGUCGGGAGUGAAAACACCGGGCUUAACUCGGUGCUUGCUUCCGAUACGGGCAGACUAGAGGUAUUCAGGGGAGAACGGAAUUCCUGGUGUAGCGGUGAAAUGCGCAGAUAUCAGGAGGAACACCGGUGGCGAAGGCGGUUCUCUGGGAAUAUCCUGACGCUGAGGAGCGAAAGUGUGGGGAGCGAACAGG